AUGCUUUGCAAUUGCUUGCUUCCUACCACCCAAGUAUCUUUCAGCAACCAUAAAAGGCCACCCUCUCUUCCCCUACCUCCCUCCUCUAGAGCCGAAGACCUUUAACUUUAUCGAUAAGAGAUCACGACGAAAAUAAGCAAUGGCUCAGCUUAGAAACAACUUCGUCAUUCUUCAAGUACUUCUCCUCUCAGUGCUUCUCAUUUCCUUAGUUUCAGGUAACAACACUGUUGAAGGCUUCAAGGAUGACAAUGAUCAGUUACUUCACAAGGGUGUCAAAGUGAAUUCAAGGAAGCUGUUUAUGAUGCCAGAUGCAACAAUGCAUGACUACGAUGAUGCGGGAGCCAACCCCAAACACGACCCUCGAAGGAGACCUGGCAAUGGGAGAAACCCAUGAUCGAUUAUCGACUGCUACUAUACGACUACUACUACUACUUGAUCCACUUAUAGUAUCGAUAAUUUUGAUCAUGUACUAAGGAAUUAAAGGAGACGAUGUACGUCACCUGAUAUACAGGGCUAGCAUUAAUCCAGACUAGAGUUUCUUCAAUAAUGCUGAUAUGAUAUGCUGGUGUACUAGUCUAACGAGUUGUCCUGUGUGGCCAUUAGCCAUAUAUAGGAAUGCCAACUUCAUAUCAUAUGCAAUUCCUUUUGGCUACUGUUUCUCUAUUAUAUAUGUAUCAAGUAUGAAAUAAACUUUCUGCCAUUGGCACUGUAUGAAU
RNA transcript from Fragaria vesca subsp. vesca, 716 nucleotides. RefSeq lists it as uncharacterized. The transcript is spliced from 3 exons. NCBI's taxonomy places the organism in Eukaryota, Viridiplantae, Streptophyta, Magnoliopsida, Rosales, Rosaceae. The record is from RefSeq and is a predicted model, not a curated record.